Molecule: ribosomal RNA, 577 nt
Filed under: uncultured bacterium
Lineage: Bacteria
Description: bacterial SSU rRNA
Rfam family: Bacterial small subunit ribosomal RNA
Source: RNAcentral
CCGUUCAAUACUGCGGAGCUCGAGGGCAGAAGAGGGGGGUGGAAUUGCUGGUGUAGUGGUGAAAUGCGUAGAUAUCAGCAGGAACACCUGUGGCGAAAGCGGCCCCCUGGUCUGCUCCUGACACUCAGACGCGAAAGCUAGGGGAGUGAACGGGAUUAGAAACCCCGGUAAUCCUAGCCGUAAACGAUGGAUGCUAGGUGUGGGUGGUAUUGACCCCAUCCGUGCCGAAACCAACGCGUUAAGCAUCCCGCCUGGGGACUACGGCCGCAAGGUUAAAACUCAAAGGAAUUGACGGGGACCCGCACAAGCAGCGGAGCGUGUGGUUUAAUUCGAUGCUACACGAAGAACCUUACCCAGGUUUGACAUGCAGGCAGUAGUGAAGCGAAAGCGGAACGAUCCUUCGGGAAGCCUGCACAGGUGCUGCAUGGCUGUCGUCAGCUCGUGCCGUGAGGUGUUUGGUUAAGUCCACUAACGAGCGCAACCCCUGUCGUCAGUUACAUGUGUCUGGCGAGACUGCCGGUCUUAAACCGGAGGAAGGUGGGGAUGACGUCAAGUCAGCAUGGCCUUUAUAUCUGGG